GGUGGAUUACGCCACAAUAAAUAGACAUUAAGCGUAAAGCGUCCGAGUUGUUUAAACGACUCGGGGUUGUA
This 71-nucleotide ribozyme is filed under the name unclassified sequences. RNAcentral's name for it is "pistol ribozyme". It matches the Rfam family "Pistol ribozyme". The record is from RNAcentral.